Molecule: long non-coding RNA, 271 nt
Filed under: Bos mutus (wild yak)
Lineage: Eukaryota; Metazoa; Chordata; Mammalia; Artiodactyla; Bovidae
Description: lncRNA (ENSBMUG00000007051.1)
Source: RNAcentral
UUGGGAAGGGCAGUGGACCGCUUUGGGGCAGGACUUAUGAGAUUUUGCAUGGUUCCCCUUUGUUGUCAUCAGCAUAUGCAGCCCUUAUUGAGAACGAGUGACUGUGACAGAUAAUUGAGGUGAAAUGGUCAGCAAUCCCCGCCCAGAAGGAAUUUAUAUGAUAUAUAAAGAAGUCUUCCUUUGAAUUCAUUGUGUUUCAUCCCAAAUACAACUGAGAUAUCAGUAAGUAAAGACUGUGUAAUAAAGAUACAGCUUUAUUAUAGUAUAAGCA